Molecule: ribosomal RNA, 566 nt
Filed under: Salmonella enterica subsp. enterica serovar Typhimurium
Lineage: Bacteria; Pseudomonadati; Pseudomonadota; Gammaproteobacteria; Enterobacterales; Enterobacteriaceae
Description: partial 23S ribosomal RNA
Rfam family: Bacterial large subunit ribosomal RNA
Source: RNAcentral
GGGUUGUGAGGUUAAGCGACUAAGCGUACACGGUGGAUGCCCUGGCAGUCAGAGGCGAUGAAGGGCGUGCUAAUCUGCGAUAAGCGCCGGUAAGGUGAUAUGAACCGUUAUAACCGGCGAUACCCGAAUGGGGAAACCCAGUGUGACUCGUCACACUAUCAUUAACUGAAUCCAUAGGUUAAUGAGGCGAACCGGGGGAACUGAAACAUCUAAGUACCCCGAGGAAAAGAAAUCAACCGAGAUUCCCCCAGUAGCGGCGAGCGAACGGGGAGGAGCCCAGAGCCUGAAUCAGCAUGUGUGUUAGUGGAAGCGUCUGGAAAGGCGCGCGAUACAGGGUGACAGCCCCGUACACAAAAGCGCAUGUGCUGUGAGCUCGAUGAGUAGGGCGGGACACGUGGUAUCCUGUCUGAAUAUGGGGGGACCAUCCUCCAAGGCUAAAUACUCCUGACUGACCGAUAGUGAACCAGUACCGUGAGGGAAAGGCGAAAAGAACCCCGGCGAGGGGAGUGAAAAAGAACCUGAAACCGUGUACGUACAAGCAGUGGGAGCACCCUUCGGGGUGUGAC